This 497-nucleotide ribosomal RNA is filed under the name uncultured bacterium. Its description in RNAcentral is "partial 16S ribosomal RNA". It matches the Rfam family "Bacterial small subunit ribosomal RNA", at positions 28 to 507 of the family's 1533-position model. The record is from RNAcentral.
GAUGAACGCUGGCGGCGUGCCUAACACAUGCAAGUCGAGCGGACAAAGGGGGAGUUCGCCUCGCUGACGCGGCCGGCGGACGGGUGAUGAACACGUGGCUAACCGGCCGAUAGGACUGGGGUAACGUCGGGAAACCGGAUCCCAUAUCGGAUAAUAGAUUGAACGGCAGGGAUCAAUAGUGCAAGACGGAUUUGCUGUGCCUUAUAGAUGGAACCGCGCCGCUUUAGCUAGUUGGUAAGGUAACGGCUUACCAAGGCAACGAUGCGUAGCCGAUCUGAGAGGGUGAUCAGUCACACUGGAACUGAGACACGGUCCAGACUCCUACGGGAGGCAGCAGUAGGGAAUCUUGCGCAAUGGGCGAAAGCCUGACGCAGCCAUGCCGCGUGUGUGAUGAAGGUCUUCGGAUUGUAAAGCUCUGUUAGUUGGGAGGAAGGAAUGUAUAUGUAACUCUGGCUGUCUUGACGUUACCUACAGAGUAAGCCCCGGCUAACUACGUG